RNAcentral lists this ribosomal RNA (497 nucleotides) under uncultured bacterium. RNAcentral describes it as "partial 16S ribosomal RNA". It matches the Rfam family "Bacterial small subunit ribosomal RNA", at positions 28 to 507 of the family's 1533-position model. The record is from RNAcentral.
GAUGAACGCUGGCGGCGUGCCUAAUACAUGCAAGUCGAGCGAACAGAUGAGGAGCUUGCUCCUCUGACGUUAGCGGCGGACGGGUGAGUAACACGUGGAUAACCUACCUAUAAGACUGGGAUAACUUCGGGAAACAGGAGCUAAUACCGGAUAAUAUAUUGAACCGCAUGGUUCAAUAGUGAAAGACGGUUUUGCUGUCACUUAUAGAUGGAUCCGCGCCGCAUUAGCUAGUUGGUAAGGUAACGGCUUACCAAGGCAACGAUGCGUAGCCGACCUGAGAGGGUGAUCGGCCACACUGGAACUGAGACACGGUCCAGACUCCUACGGGAGGCAGCAGUAGGGAAUCUUCCGCAAUGGGCGAAAGCCUGACGGAGCAACGCCGCGUGAGUGAUGAAGGUCUUCGGAUCGUAAAACUCUGUUAUUAGGGAAGAACAGAUGUGUAAGUAACUAUGCACGUCUUGACGGUACCUAAUCAGAAAGCCACGGCUAACUACGUG